RNAcentral lists this small nuclear RNA (152 nucleotides) under Cervus elaphus hippelaphus. Its description in RNAcentral is "U2 spliceosomal RNA". It matches the Rfam family "U2 spliceosomal RNA". From Rfam's summary of the family: U2 is a small nuclear RNA (snRNA) component of the spliceosome (involved in pre-mRNA splicing). Complementary binding between U2 snRNA (in an area lying towards the 5' end but 3' to hairpin I) and the branchpoint sequence (BPS) of the intron results the bulging out of an unpaired adenosine, on the BPS, which initiates a nucleophilic attack at the intronic 5' splice site, thus starting the first of two transesterification reactions that mediate splicing. The record is from Rfam by way of RNAcentral. Lineage: Eukaryota; Metazoa; Chordata; Mammalia; Artiodactyla; Cervidae. RNAcentral also lists the same sequence under 1 other name.
AUCGCUUCUCGGCCUUUUGGCUAAGAUCAAGUGUAGUAUCUGUUCUUAUCAGUUUAAAUACACACAUCAGUUACCUUUACUUUGUAGUGAACAAACUGAAGUAUAUACACUUUAUUAGCCUUCAAAAUUAUUUUAAAUGGUUCUAAACUUAA